This 71-nucleotide microRNA precursor is filed under the name Ornithorhynchus anatinus (platypus). Its description in RNAcentral is "Oan-Let-7-P2a4_pre stem-loop". Lineage: Eukaryota; Metazoa; Chordata; Mammalia; Monotremata; Ornithorhynchidae. The record is from RNAcentral.
UGAGGUAGUAGAUUGAAUAGUUGUGGGGUCACGGCCUCCCUGUGUGCUAACUAUACAAUCUACUGUCUUUC